GCUUUUGGAGCNCCGAUGUCUGAUUAGCUAGUUGGUAGGGUAAUGGCUUACCAAGGCGACGAUCAGUAGUUGGUCUGAGAGGACGGCCAGCCACACUGGGACUGAGACACGGCCCAGACUCCUACGGGAGGCAGCAGUGGGGAAUUUUGGACAAUGGGCGCAAGCCUGAUCCAGCAAUGCCGCGUGAGUGAAGAAGGCCUUCGGGUUGUAAAGCUCUUUCAGUUGAGAAGAAAAAGUCGUGACUAAUAAUCAUGAUCCAUGACGGUAUCAACAGAAGAAGCACCGGCUAACUACGUGCCAGCAGCCGCGGUAAUACGUAGGGUGCAAGCGUUAAUCGGAAUUACUGGGCGUAAAGGGUGCGCAGGCGGUUCUGUAAGUCAGAUGUGAAAUCCCCGGGCUUAACCUGGGAACUGCGUUU
RNAcentral lists this ribosomal RNA (418 nucleotides) under uncultured beta proteobacterium. Its description in RNAcentral is "bacterial SSU rRNA". It matches the Rfam family "Bacterial small subunit ribosomal RNA", at positions 217 to 628 of the family's 1533-position model. Lineage: Bacteria; Pseudomonadati; Pseudomonadota; Betaproteobacteria. The record is from RNAcentral.